RNAcentral lists this ribosomal RNA (414 nucleotides) under uncultured Desulfuromonas sp. RNAcentral describes it as "bacterial SSU rRNA". It matches the Rfam family "Bacterial small subunit ribosomal RNA", at positions 971 to 1382 of the family's 1533-position model. The record is from RNAcentral. Lineage: Bacteria; Pseudomonadati; Thermodesulfobacteriota; Desulfuromonadia; Desulfuromonadales; Desulfuromonadaceae.
UUACCAGGUCUUGACAUCCCCUGACCAACCGAAGAGAUUGGGCGUUCCCCGUUCGGGGGACAGGUGACAGGUGGUGCUAUGGUUUGUCGUCAGCUCGUGUCGUGAGAUGUUGGGUUAAGUCCCGCAACGAGCGCAACCCUUGUCCUUAGUUGCCAGCAUUCAGUUGGGCACUCUAAGGAGACUGCCGUGUCAAACCGGAGGAAGGUGGGGAUGACGUCAAGUCCUCAUGGCCCUUAUGUCCAGGGCUACACACGUGCUACAAUGGCCGGUACAAAGGGGCGCAAGACCGCGAGGUGGAGCAAAUCCCAAAAAACCGGUCUCAGUUCGGAUUGGAGUCUGCAACUCGACUCCAUGAAGUUGGAAUCGCUAGUAAUCGCGUAUCAGCAUGACGCGGUGAAUACGUUCCCGGGCCUU